CGCAUCUGUGCAUGCAGCAUAUCAAUAAGCGGAGGAAAAGAAACUAACAAGGAUUCCCCUAGUAACGGCGAGUGAAGCGGGAAGAGCUCAAAUUUGAAAUCUUAAAGGGUUUCCCUUUACGAAUUGUAGUUUAAAGAAGUGUUUUCUGUUGAGGUUUUGGUAAAAGUUCUUUGGAAUAGGACAUCAUAGAGGGUGAGAAUCCCGUAUUUGACCUUUACUUUCAACUUUGUGAUACACUUUCAAAGAGUCGGAUUGUUUGGGAAUGCAGUCCAAAAUGGGUGGUAAACUUUCAUCUAAAGCUAAAUAUUGGCGAGAGACCGAUAGCGAACAAGUACCGUGAGGGAAGGAUGUAAAAGAACUUUGAAAAGAGAGUUAAACAGUACGUGAAAUUGUCAAAAGGGAAGCGUUUGACAGCCAGUGUUGUUUUUCUGAAAAUCAAUUAAAGAACUGUUUAUGCUAAGCUGUUUAGACUUUAUCAGCUAAUCUGUUUAGUUUUGAGCUUUUCUUUAAUGCACUUUUCAGUUAACAAGUCAACAUCAAUUUCUUUUGCUGUAAAAAAGCUUGAGGAAGGUGGCUUGAGAUUCGUCUUAAGUGUUUAUAGCCUCAUGCCUAUGCAGUCGGAGAGAUUGAGGUCUGCAGCGUAGAUCCUUCGGGGCUAAAUGCAUUUGUGCUAAGUUAUAACAUUUUAUAGACAACUUGUUGACUAUGAUUUGUCUUGUAGCUUACUCGCUUAUGUUAUUUUACCUACGCUUAGGAUGUUGAACGCAUGUCUCUCUCU
Molecule: ribosomal RNA, 778 nt
Filed under: uncultured Neocallimastigales
Lineage: Eukaryota; Fungi; Neocallimastigomycota; Neocallimastigomycetes; Neocallimastigales
Description: partial large subunit ribosomal RNA
Rfam family: Eukaryotic large subunit ribosomal RNA
Source: RNAcentral